AUGCUAGCAGUAGCCUUUAGAUGAUAGGCUGGUUGGCAUUGGAGUACACGAGACAAGAACGAAGAAGAGGAGCAUCCAAAGCUCAUGGCAACUAAAACCGUCAAGAAGAUCACUGGUUCGCUUGGAUUUAAGUCGUAAUGGAUUCUAUUGCUGUUAUAGUGUUUUUAUCUCUAUAAAUUACAAAAGUUGUAGCAGUCCAAAUAGUUAUCUUUAAUCCAAAGCGAAUAACACAUUUCAUAGUGAUAAAUGCAGGAGGUUGCAAUUACAGAGAUGGCUGAAUUGGAUAGCGGUAGCGGACUUCUCAAUGUUUCUACGAGUGAUGUUAUCAUCUGACCGGUUAAAUUAAUUAGUGUAGUUAAGGGGUAGAGGCGACCGACUUGGGGGUGUAACUCUUCUUGGCAUAUACUGUACUGUAUGUCAGUAUGUGUCACGAUUAUGUUCACUGUGGUUUUGUUCCAUAUAAGAUGUAGGCACUAGUACAUUUCUGUCGUUAGGAAAAAAAAAGGGAGCCCAAAACCCAUGUGAUGUUGACGGUGCACCCAAGUGCCCCUUUAAUGCAGAUCUCAUAGUCUAAAUUUUGAUCACCUCUGUCUAGGCAGUUUGGGAUAUGCUCUGUUUCAGGAUCCUUUUGCCUCAACGUUAGUCAUCUUGCAAUUGCAAAGCACUUAUUCUGCCCUUGCUAUCCUCAAGAAUCAAGAUUAUUGGCUACGAUCUACCAAAUAUUGACUGCAAGACACUUCUCUAUUCUCUUUCAAAAAAAAGGCUCCAACAACCAGAUGGAAGCUUCAUGCCUACUCAUAUUGGAUAAGUAGUGUAGAGACAAGUCACUAAUGGAGGGUGUUUCAAGCGAAAAGAAACAAGCCCAGUGAUACCUAUUACCUGCUAUGUUUUUUUUUGGGUUGGAGCUGUCUUGAAAAUCUUGGGUGCUAGACACCUGUAAUUGGCCUCAAAUAUCUUACACCAGCUUAAUGCCUUAAUCA
Molecule: long non-coding RNA, 980 nt
Organism: Zea mays
Lineage: Eukaryota; Viridiplantae; Streptophyta; Magnoliopsida; Poales; Poaceae
Exons: 3
Source: RefSeq, a predicted model, not a curated record